AGAUAAGAUUUAGUAUGUUGUAAGUGAUGGGAGGAGCUGUGAGGUUUAACGUCUGAGGUUUUCUACAGAAAGAGGAACCUGGAGCAGAUCUGGAGGCAGAGACACUCAAAAUAUGAGUGUGACACACUCUGCGAAUGAAAUCACUCUUAGGAGAAAGAAAGAAAAUAAUCAGAUGUUCAACAAUAACUGACUGAAGAUCAUCAGUGAAGCUGAAGAUCCUCCUCAUCUUCACCCUCAGGAGGAUGAUCCCAUUGGCUGGUUACAUCGGUGAGUAAGAUACAGGACUGACCUUGGAGAACGGUGGACUGGAGUUUAUAUGAACAUCACUGAGACUGAAGUUUAGACCAGAAUGAAGAUUCUCCUCAUCUUCACCCUCCACCUGAUCUCAGGUGGAGUGGCCGGUAUUGAUGUGAUCGGCUUUCCAGGAGGAAGAGUUACAAUCACCUGUAACUACGAUGACUAUGGAAGGGCAAAGACACAUAUUUGCAAAAUGAAAACACAAACUGAGUGUGAAUAUAUUACAGUUAUUAAG
Molecule: long non-coding RNA, 532 nt
Organism: Colossoma macropomum (tambaqui)
Lineage: Eukaryota; Metazoa; Chordata; Actinopteri; Characiformes; Serrasalmidae
Exons: 4
Source: RefSeq, a predicted model, not a curated record